RNAcentral lists this ribosomal RNA (207 nucleotides) under uncultured bacterium. RNAcentral describes it as "partial 16S ribosomal RNA". It matches the Rfam family "Bacterial small subunit ribosomal RNA", at positions 568 to 774 of the family's 1533-position model. The record is from RNAcentral.
CUCGUAGGCGGUUCAGUAAGUCGGGUGUGAAAGCUCCGAGCUCAACUCGGAGAGGCCACUCGAUACUGCUGUGACUAGAAUCCAGUAGGGGAGCGUGGAACUCCUGGUGUAGCGGUGAAAUGCGCAGAUAUCAGGAAGAACACCAGCGGCGAAGGCGGCGCUCUGGGCUGGAAUUGACGCUGAGGAGCGAAAGUGUGGUAGCAAACA